CUACAUUUCCUCUAAGGCAGCCAGGAUGUGACUGUCUCUACACAGUCUGUUUAUCUGUGAUGAAAGACAUGCAUGUGUUGUACUUUUAGGUGGGAGGUGGAAAGUCUGGUCAACAAGCUACAGACACUGAAUAAUCCUCAGCGCACCCAGAAAGUCUCAUUGAUGACUGCUUGUUUGGGGUUGUAAUAAUAGUCAGCAUGAAGACUAAAGUGGAGGAGUGUCUGUGAUAUGGCCGCCACCACAGACAAACACCUGACGUCUCCUACCCUCAGUUCACAGCCUACCUCUUCCUCACCCCAACCACCCUGACAAUCCUGGCCAGCAGAGCAAGUUCAGCUGCUCCACUCUGUCCUCGACCGCCAGCACGCUUCUCUGACAAGGACCUUGACCCAUCUCUGAGGAACCACAGGCAAGAAUGCAAGACAGACCUCCCCCUCCGCCUCGUGUCAUUGGAGGCCAGCCGGCUUAUACCGUCCAUCGGAUACUGGAUUCCCGCCGGGUGCAGCGGUCCUGGCAUUAUCUGGUGGACUGGGAAGGCUACGGUCCCGAGGAGCGCUCCUGGGUUCCUGCCAAAGACAUCCUGGACCCUGACCUCAUUCGUCAGUUCAGGGCCCUCCACCCUGAGAGAGCUGGUAGGAACGUCAGGAGCCGUUCCUAGGGGGGGGGAUUCUGUCAGGAUUUGGCCAGGGUUGUUCCGGGUUUUGGUCACUAGAUGCCCCCAUUGUGCUUUUUGACCUUAUGUUUUUUUCCUUGUUCCCCAU
Molecule: long non-coding RNA, 761 nt
Organism: Oncorhynchus masou masou (cherry salmon)
Lineage: Eukaryota; Metazoa; Chordata; Actinopteri; Salmoniformes; Salmonidae
Exons: 4
Source: RefSeq, a predicted model, not a curated record